GUCUCUGUGGUGAAAUGGGUUAGUGCACUUGGCUGAUAACCAAAAGGUUGGUUGUUUAGUUCCACCCAGGGAUG
This 74-nucleotide transfer RNA is filed under the name Camelus bactrianus (Bactrian camel). It matches the Rfam family "tRNA". Rfam says of the family: Transfer RNA (tRNA) molecules are approximately 80 nucleotides in length. Their secondary structure includes four short double-helical elements and three loops (D, anti-codon, and T loops). Lineage: Eukaryota; Metazoa; Chordata; Mammalia; Artiodactyla; Camelidae. The record is from Rfam by way of RNAcentral. RNAcentral also lists the same sequence under 2 other names.